UAGGGAGACCAUCUGAUCAUCGACCGAACCUAAACAAUAGGUCGUUGUCAGUCAUCCCUGGUCGUUCGAGGAAUAGAUGUCAAAGCUUUCAAACUAUUAACUGGUUCGGAAUAUGGGCUAUUAGCUCAGUUGGUUAGAGCGCACCCCUGAUAAGGGUGAGGUCCCUGGUUCAAAUCCAGGAUGGCCCACCUGGAAAAAAAGUGAUGAAUUGUAAGUAAUGAGUAAGGGAUAAUCAAUGAUUAAUUCAGGACUCAUAAAAUCAAAAUCAGAACUUGCUUAGUGGGGGUAUAGCUCAGUUGGUAGAGCGCCUGCCUUGCACGCAGGAAGUCAGCGGUUCGAGUCCGCUUACCUCCACUCUCACUAACUAUAACCAACAAAAAAAACAAAAAGAGAGAGAAAUCAGCACCCAGACUAACUUGGUCUUUUUAGCUCAAAGAAGUCGGAAUGCUGGAGUCGAGAACUCUAGUCAGAACCUUGAAAACUGCAUAGAAAUUAAGUCAUCAAAGCGUGUCUAUCAUCCGAUUGCUCGGAAGAAAUGACAAGCGACAACCAUCAAAAAAUCAAGU
RNAcentral lists this transfer RNA (566 nucleotides) under Microcoleus vaginatus SLad18. RNAcentral describes it as "partial 16S-23S ribosomal RNA intergenic spacer". The stretch from base 282 to 354 matches the Rfam family "tRNA". Lineage: Bacteria; Bacillati; Cyanobacteriota; Cyanophyceae; Oscillatoriales; Microcoleaceae. The record is from RNAcentral.